AUCCUGGCUCAGAUUGAACGCUGGCGGAAUGCUUUACACAUGCAAGUCGAACGGCAGCACGGACUUCGGUCUGGUGGCGAGUGGCGAACGGGUGAGUAAUAUAUCGGAACGUGCCCAGUCGUGGGGGAUAACGUAGUGAAAAUUACGCUAAUACCGCAUACGAUCUAAGGAUGAAAGCGGGGGAUCGCAAGACCUCGCGCGAUUGGAGCGGCCGAUAUCAGAUUAGGUAGUUGGUGAGGUAAAGGCUCACCAAGCCAACGAUCUGUAGCUGGUCUGAGAGGACGACCAGCCACACUGGAACUGAGACACGGUCCAGACUCCUACGGGAGGCAGCAGUGGGGAAUUUUGGACAAUGGACGCAAGUCUGAUCCAGCCAUUCCGCGUGCAGGACGAAGGCCUUCGGGUUGUAAACUGCUUUUGUACAGAACGAAAAGGUCUCUAUUAAUACUAGGGGCUCAUGACGGUACUGUAAGAAUAAGCACCGGCUAACUACGUG
Molecule: ribosomal RNA, 496 nt
Filed under: uncultured bacterium
Lineage: Bacteria
Description: bacterial SSU rRNA
Rfam family: Bacterial small subunit ribosomal RNA
Source: RNAcentral